RNAcentral lists this ribosomal RNA (563 nucleotides) under uncultured bacterium. RNAcentral's name for it is "bacterial SSU rRNA". It matches the Rfam family "Bacterial small subunit ribosomal RNA", at positions 375 to 921 of the family's 1533-position model. The record is from RNAcentral.
CCGACAGUUCCCUUGAGUUUCGGCUUGGGCCCGUGCUCCCCAGGCGGAGGACUUAACGCCGCGUGUGCGACGAAGAUGUUCGGGUUGUCACGCCCUUUUCUGGGGGACGAUAGAGGACGGUCCCCCAGGAAUACUACACCUGUAACUACGUGCCACUUUCCCGCCUCAUACGUAGGUGGUAAGCGUAAUCCGGAUUUAUUGGGUGUACUUCCUCCUGAUAUCGAUCUGUUUCUCCGAUACGCAAGCUCCUGCCUCCACUGGUGUACGACUCUCGAUCCUGCGGGACUUGAGGUCGGGAGAGGGACAUGCCAUUCCCGGUGUUCUGGUGGAAUGCGACGCCUCCACGCCCUUUCCACCCAGCGAAUGCGAAAACCUGUCGCCCACCCUACAUUACCACGCCUGCUGUGGGUAGUUAACGGGAUUAGAUACCUCGGUAGUCCACGCCGUAAUUGCGGAUACUAUUUGUUGGUGGCUAUCGACCUUACAACCCGAAGCUAACUCUUCCUCCAUCUCGCCUGCUGCUACGGGCUUUCGGCUAUUGCUCAAAUGAAUUGACUGAUGCC